Molecule: non-coding RNA, 532 nt
Organism: Paramuricea clavata
Lineage: Eukaryota; Metazoa; Cnidaria; Anthozoa; Malacalcyonacea; Plexauridae
Source: the annotation of a GenBank genome assembly
GCGUGACCCACACUUUACUCGGCCAACAUUUUUUGUCUGUGUAUCCUAUCUCUGGCUCUGUAUCCAAAAUUGGCUUCCACGUCGCACAAAAAAUUGCCUCGUUUAACAUGCACUUUACAGUACUAUAGUCUUUCUUACGACUACAUCAGCUACGCCAUGAUAUUUCUAGCAUACAUGCAGUAUAUGAAUAAACCUUUGUUAUUAACUUAGUACUAUGAUUAUUACUAAAUCGUAAUUAAUAUCCCCGCUAAAUCGUGUCCAAUCUCCCAUCAUAUCGACAUGGAGCAACGCUUAAUUCCCUAUGUUAUAGUCUUCCAAUGUCACAAUCUUCAGUUACCAGUUUUCAUCAUGAAUGAUCAGUUUUAAACGGAAUUUAUUUUGAACGGCAAAUGUAUAAAUUUGGGGGCCAGCUAAUACUAGUUCAAACGUUGACGCAGAAUCCAGGCUAUUACCCAUAUACUCCACUAAUUAUGAUAGAUCUUUAUUGACAUUGCCUUAGGGACUAAUUAUAUGGAGUUUUACAAUGGUUUAC